This is a ribosomal RNA of Chelonoidis abingdonii (Abingdon island giant tortoise), 102 nucleotides long. NCBI's taxonomy places the organism in Eukaryota, Metazoa, Chordata, Testudines, Testudinidae. The record is from Ensembl.
AUCAGCUUGUGUUGGGCCUGUGAUCCAGUCUGAUUUCACAAGGUAAACAUGGUUAGGCCUGGUUAGUACUUGAUGGGAGACAUGCAGGAAGUCAUGUUGGUU